CCUAAUCCCAACCUCUCACUCCCUCGUGUUAGCCCCAGUUGUGCCGAAAAUGUUGAGUGAGGAGUUAGUCCUCAGGUUCCAUCUCCCUUUCCACUAAUAUGUAUCAGCCUCGGGGAUAGGGUUGCUGUGCGGACUACAAGCCCCGAGACCAACCCACUUCUUGGGCUCUUAGGAACAGUGGGGGCCUCGUGCUUUCAGUUUGGUCCUGUGCUCCCUCCAGCCGUGGUUUUUGUUGUUGUUGUUUUGGGGGUUUUUGUUUUUGGGUUUUUUGGGUUGUUGUUUUGUUUUUGAUAUAUAUCUUUCUGGAAUGCUCAAAGCGGCUGUGAUCUGCUUAUCAUAUGAAGACACAAUUGCCAGAUUCUCUUCACCUCUAUGAGCUUUGGUUUUUCCAUUUGCAAAAAUGGAAAACAUAAAUUCUACCUCUUGCCGGGCGGUGGUGGCACACGCCUUUAAUCCCAGCACUUGGGAAGCAGAGGCAGGCAGAUUUAUGAGUUCGAGGCCAGCCUGGUCUACAAAGUGUGUAGCCCAGGACAGCCAGGGCUACACAGAGAAACCCUGUCUCGAAAAAAACAAAUAAAAAUAAAAAUAAAUCUACCUCUUGCAAGACCCUGCACCCUGGUUCUGCCAUGGUUUCUCAGACUCCUGGGAAAUCUCCCUUCCCUUUUUCCACAGGGCCAUUCAUGGGGAUGUGGGCUUACUGUGUUGGCCCAGAAUGGGCCCCAGCUCUAAGGGUGAGGCGUUGCUGUAGUAUCUAGAUGCUCAUGGAUGGACUCUCAAAGGGCUGUUUCAAAACCCGAGUAACUCGCUGCCUCCAAGGGCUGUGUUUGUGCCUCUGGGAGUUUCUCUCCGAGAGGCUGCAGAAUCCUGGGAGUCUCUGCUGGAGCUCAGGAGAAACCCUCCAGCUGCGGAAGGCGCGGAGGUGACCAGCCUGAAAGAAUGAAACACGCCCACAAAUGGAAGGAGAGCCUCACGUCGCUCUCAAAAGAACACGAAGCCGGGCUGGAGGCGCACACCUGUAGACUCUGCCUCAGGGCGGCUGCAGCAAGAGGAUCCCAGGUUAAGGCCAGCCUGGAAUGCAUAUCGAGUUCCUGUUGCCCGAUGCGUUAGUUAGUUAGUUAGAGCAUUCAUUUAAAUCAGCUGAAUAGGAUAGAUAUGUAGCCAUAUCUUGGGAAUUAUCUGGGCAUUCAAUGAAACAUACAAAGGACACAUCGGUUCGUGUUUGUGAAAAAAAAAAUUAUGAACGGAUGAGGUGUGUUUUAACGUCACCUUUUCAUGUUCUAAAGAAAAUGGAAGAAUUUUAACGUUUUUUUUCUUGAUGUUUUUGUGAUUUUUUUCUUGUGUUUUUCUAGACUGUACCAAGCGAAUUGUCUAUCUAUGACCUUUUAAUUACAAAUUAAACUCAAAAGUUGGUUGUUUAAAAAAAA
This 1424-nucleotide long non-coding RNA is filed under the name Mus musculus (house mouse). Its description in RNAcentral is "expressed sequence BB283400". Lineage: Eukaryota; Metazoa; Chordata; Mammalia; Rodentia; Muridae. The record is from RNAcentral.